This 1110-nucleotide long non-coding RNA is filed under the name Homo sapiens (human). RNAcentral's name for it is "HSALNT0171563". The record is from RNAcentral. Lineage: Eukaryota; Metazoa; Chordata; Mammalia; Primates; Hominidae.
ACUGGAUACAAAUUGCAGUUUAUUAAGGCUCCAGAGUGAGAAAUGGCACUUGGUUCUGGGCAGGGGCAGGGGCAGGGGUGUCAGUGGAACCCAAAGGAGCUGGGUCCAAACAUGUUGGAGGGACCUCCUCCAUCCCCCUACCCCCAAUAAAUAAAGUCUCAGCUCCAUCUCAGGGUGCUGGUGCAGGGCAGGGAUCCCUCACUGAGGAGAACCCAGGGCUGCUACCUCCUUCAUAUUUCUCCCCACAUUGGACCUGGUCACAGGUCAGUGAGCAACAGGGCUUCUGUGGUCCUAGUACUCUGAGGGGGCUGGGGAGUUCAGGGUGGAGAGCUGGGGCCUGGUGGUGGCCUCCCCGUAGCCAGUCAUAGUCCGAGGCUGCCCAGGGCAGGCUCAGAGUGGGGCCUGCGUUGGGGACACUGUGCGCAUCCCAGGUCGGGGCCCAGCCUGGGCCACAGCUAGAUGUGCAGCUCCGUGUCAUCAGGUGGCUCCAGGCCAGACUCUGCGCUGAGUGCUGAGGCUGAGGGACCCUGGGCCACCCCAAAUGGUGAGACAACGGGUGAGCGAGCAGCCAGAGGAGACAGAGAGGGUGAGAAGCUGGGGGACAUGGCAGCUGAGGACAGGGAGCCUUCAUGGCUGAUGGGGGAGCGGUGAGAAGCUGGUGGGAAGAUGGCCCGGGCUGCAGCUGUGUUUGCUGGCUUGGGGGGCACAGACUUGGCUCCUGGGUGGGCCACGCUUCAUCCUUGAGCCGAGCGAUCUCUGUGAAGACACUGGCCAGUGGUUGGAACUGAGGGCACCAGCUCAGCAGGUAGUCCCAGUUAUAGCUGCCACGGAGCUCCUCCUCGCCGGCCACAAUGGCUGUCAGCGCACCUGCCACACAUGGCUUGCCAUCUGCUGGGAAGCCAUAGUCCCCAGUGGGUGCAGGGCUCAGGCCACAGCCCCCCAGGAAGGCUGUGGCAGUGGUUCGCAGGAUGUGUCACUCAGACCAUCUGCAUCCUGCUGGAUGCCUGAGUCAGGGCCACGGGCAGCCAGAGAGGAGGCCACACUGGCCACACGGGGGAACUCAUUGAUCAUGCGGAUCUCAUCAUCCUCUGCAGCCUCUGCUGAUCCUCG